RNAcentral lists this ribosomal RNA (417 nucleotides) under Triticum aestivum (bread wheat). Its description in RNAcentral is "partial small subunit ribosomal RNA". The record is from RNAcentral. Lineage: Eukaryota; Viridiplantae; Streptophyta; Magnoliopsida; Poales; Poaceae.
AUGAUAUCCACUGUUGAAGGGGGCCACUUGGAAGGUUAUCUCUUCGGAUCGAUAAUUCUCCGGUGUGCCGAAUACCAUGUCGAGUGUGAUUUUUCCCGCGCACCGCGCCUCCCAACCAGGAAUGAUUCCUCGGAAGGUCGUGCUACUUUGCUCAAUGCGGCCCCUGUCUAUUUCCAUUUUGUUGAGAGUUUCCUCGUAAAUGAGGUUGAGUCCGCCGCCGCCGUCCAUGAGCACUUUGGUAACCCGAAAGCCGUCCAUGAUUGGACUGAAGACCAAGGCGGCUGGUGCCCGGACUGUCUUGAAUUUUGGUUCGUCACCGGCAUUGAAAGUUAUGGCCGUGUCGUCCGAGGGGUUUAUUGCCGCGACUUGGCAGACUUCAGCGAGGCCACCGAGUGCCCUUUUGCGCCUAUUGUUUGA